This 253-nucleotide ribosomal RNA is filed under the name uncultured bacterium. RNAcentral describes it as "partial 16S ribosomal RNA". It matches the Rfam family "Bacterial small subunit ribosomal RNA", at positions 524 to 776 of the family's 1533-position model. The record is from RNAcentral.
UACGUAGGGUGCGAGCGUUGUCCGGAAUUAUUGGGCGUAAAGGGCUCGUAGGCGGUCUGUCACGUCGGGAGUGAAAACUCGGGGCUUAACUCCGAGCCUGCUUCUGAUACGGGCAGACUAGAGGUAUGCAGGGGAGAAUGGAAUUCCUGGUGUAGCGGUGAAAUGCGCAGAUAUCAAGAGGAACACCUGCGGCGAAGGCGGGUUGCUGGGCCGACACUGACGCUGAUGCGCGAAAGCUAGGGGAGCGAACGGG